RNAcentral lists this ribosomal RNA (111 nucleotides) under Actinokineospora globicatena. The record is from RNAcentral. Lineage: Bacteria; Bacillati; Actinomycetota; Actinomycetes; Pseudonocardiales; Pseudonocardiaceae.
CGGCGGUCAUAGCGGUGGGGAAACGCCCGGUCCCAUUCCGAACCCGGAAGCUAAGCCCACCUGCGCCGAUGGUACUGCACUCGUGAGGGUGUGGGAGAGUAGGACGCCGCC